GGGGGAGAGACACUGGGGGUGCUGCGACCCAUGGAGAGCCGCAGAAACAGUUUGCCAGGGCUUCCCCAAGGUGCUCGAUUGUUUUGUUCUGUGUGCAGGAUGUUUCUCAUCACACCCCAAAGCUUUUCCAGGAGUCAAACGCAUCGGUUUCCCUCUCUUCCCCCAAGAAAGGGGAAGUUUGUGGCCGGUUGCAUUGAUAGCACCUGGAGUGGUGCUGCCCUGAAACAGGAUGAAAUGGCUGCAUCCUUCCGGGAGGCUGCCUCCGAAAGCAGAAUUGCCCUGUGAGCUGGAGAGGUGCCCCUGCAGUGAGGGCCCGUGCCCAGGGAGGCAUGGGGAGCUGGGGACUUGGCACUUUCCUGCCUAUCAUAGAGGACUGUGAUGUACGAUGGUAAUGAAUGCAUCUUUAUUUAUAGAUAUGAUACUAUGAAAUAGCUUUAUUAUCCCUUGCUAAAAAUGCUUCCUUUUUUGCUUUCUUAGCAGUCAGUGCAAAAAUUCAAGUUAAUAUCAUAAUAUCAUGGUAAAAGCUGCAAGCUCUGAAGUGGUACAGGCUGGCAGGAAGCUCCCAGUGUAUGGUUUGGUGUGAGCAGCACCGAUGUAUUAGGUUUGGCAUAGUAGUACAUGGGUUUUUUUUCUUGUUUUUAGUGGCCAUCUAUGCCAUCUAUGCAUCUAUGCUUAACUUGUUAACAAUUUAUGUUCAUAUGUACGAGGAGGAGGAACAUAAAGAUGAUGUAAGGAUAGACAGGUUUGUAAAACCAGCCAUUUCUUCAAGGGACGGCUGCUGCAGCAAUACCCUGCUUGCACGAUGCCCUAUAUGAGUGUCUGUUUUGAGCGAGUUUUACACGUGACCUGCACCCUGAUCAUGCGUUCUUUUUAGGCUGCACACCCGCCUAUCAGCCUCAUCAGCGUUGAUGCUGUGGACCCACAUCAGUGGUUUCUUGAGCUUUGAGAAAAACCCAGUUCUUGUUCUUAGAUAAAUACAAGAACCCUUCUGUUUCAGAGCAGCGUGCAGCCAUGUGCACACUGUGUGUGCCAGAACAGACCCUUUCAAGAGCUCCAGAAGACUUUUUUAGCCUCUUUCUUUCAUCUGCAAGACCAAAAAGGAAAGAGAGGUUUCUGCAACUGGGAAGCAGGAGAAGAGAGUGGAGUGACAAGACUUCACCUGUACCGUAGCUGAUGGUGGGCUCACAGACCAGAACACACACAGCCUAUUGCACAGAUCGGCUUUCCUGGCAGCCCCGGGCAGCACUUGCAGGGACAGAGGUAUGGGACGCCUAAAAAUAGUUACUGAAAGAGACUAAAAGACAAGGACAGCUGGAAAAAACAU
Melopsittacus undulatus (budgerigar) is the source of this 1324-nucleotide long non-coding RNA. RefSeq lists it as uncharacterized. The transcript has 3 exons. Lineage: Eukaryota; Metazoa; Chordata; Aves; Psittaciformes; Psittaculidae. The record is from RefSeq and is a predicted model, not a curated record.